CAGUAGCCACGGGAAUACGUAGGGCGCAAGCGUUGUCCGGAAUUAUUGGGCGUAAAGAGCUCGUAGGCGGUCUGUCGCGUCUGGUGUGAAAUCCCGAGGCUCAACCUCGGGCUUGCAUCGGGUACGGGCAGACUAGAGUGCGGUAGGGGAGACUGGAAUUCCUGGUGUAGCGGUGGAAUGCGCAGAUAUCAGGAGGAACACCGAUGGCGAAGGCAGGUCUCUGGGCCGCAACUGACGCUGAGGAGCGAAAGCAUGGGGAGCGAACAGGAUUAGAUACCCCAGUAGUCCCUGUCUCUUAUAC
Molecule: ribosomal RNA, 301 nt
Filed under: uncultured bacterium
Lineage: Bacteria
Description: partial 16S ribosomal RNA
Rfam family: Bacterial small subunit ribosomal RNA
Source: RNAcentral